ACUCUUCGAUAGAAAGGAACACAGAAAUAAACAGGGAGAGAAAAUAGAGAAAGGUUUAAUGGCUAGCGACCUAUCAUGCCGAAUGCCGAACAGAGGUGUCACACAGCAGAGCAAGGAAGAAGGGGAUAUAUAUAUAUACAUACACAAACACACACA
Molecule: long non-coding RNA, 156 nt
Organism: Octopus sinensis (East Asian common octopus)
Lineage: Eukaryota; Metazoa; Mollusca; Cephalopoda; Octopoda; Octopodidae
Exons: 3
Source: RefSeq, a predicted model, not a curated record